UCCAGUGACCAGAAAGGGCCUGUGUUAUGUUUCUACAACAUCUGUUAUCAUGUAAAAGAGAAGAGAGGCUUCCUGUUUAAACAGAAAAUAACUGAGAAAAGGAUACUAUCAGAUAUCAAUGGGAUCAUGAACCCUGGCCUUAAUGCCAUUGUGGGACCCUCAGUUUCAGGCAAUACUUUGUGAGUAUAAAAGAAGGUGUAAGUAAGCCUUUUUGGCUGCA
RNAcentral lists this long non-coding RNA (220 nucleotides) under Ictidomys tridecemlineatus (thirteen-lined ground squirrel). RNAcentral's name for it is "lncRNA (ENSSTOG00000033646.1)". Lineage: Eukaryota; Metazoa; Chordata; Mammalia; Rodentia; Sciuridae. The record is from RNAcentral.